This is a non-coding RNA of Cinara cedri, 360 nucleotides long. The record is from the annotation of a GenBank genome assembly. Lineage: Eukaryota; Metazoa; Arthropoda; Insecta; Hemiptera; Aphididae.
UUCUUAAAUCGGUAAUAUACAUAUUUGCAAGACAACAAAUGGAAAAAAGAACUAUUGUUGAUAGGUGCAGCCACUGUUGUAGGUUGGAAGUUAGAAAGGUAGGAUACAUAAGGAUAUUUCAUUUAUACGAUAAACAAUAAACGAUUACUGACGAAAGACGUUUCCAAGCGCAGUUCGAUAAUACAUAAUUACAUAAUUUAAAGUGCCGUAAUUUUUUUUAACCUUACAUUCCUACGUUCCUCGAAUCUAUUGAAAUAUUUAUAUUAUGAAAUUUGAAUGUUUUACGCGAUCAUUAAAUGCAUGGACCGAAAUUAAAAGGAAUAAGUACACAAAAUGGUAUCACUUAACACUGAUAAGUAA